RNAcentral lists this ribosomal RNA (753 nucleotides) under uncultured bacterium. RNAcentral describes it as "bacterial SSU rRNA". It matches the Rfam family "Bacterial small subunit ribosomal RNA", at positions 97 to 868 of the family's 1533-position model. The record is from RNAcentral.
GGCGGACGGGUGAGUAACGCGUGGGUAACCUGCCUCAUACAGGGGGAUAACAGUUAGAAAUGGCUGCUAAUACCGCAUAAGACCACAGUACUGCAUGGUACAGGGGUAAAAACUCCGGUGGUAUGAGAUGGACCCGCGUCUGAUUAGGUAGUUGGUGAGGUAACGGCCCACCAAGCCGACGAUCAGUAGCCGACCUGAGAGGGUGACCGGCCACAUUGGGACUGAGACACGGCCCAGACUCCUACGGGAGGCAGCAGUGGGGAAUAUUGCACAAUGGGGGAAACCCUGAUGCAGCGACGCCGCGUGGAGGAAGAAGGUCUUCGGAUUGUAAACUCCUGUUGUUGAGGAAGAUAAUGACGGUACUCAACAAGGAAGUGACGGCUAACUACGUGCCAGCAGCCGCGGUAAAACGUAGGUCACAAGCGUUGUCCGGAAUUACUGGGUGUAAAGGGAGCGCAGGCGGGAAGACAAGUUGGAAGUGAAAUCCAUGGGCUCAACCCAUGAACUGCUUUCAAAACUGUUUUUCUUGAGUAGUGCAGAGGUAGGCGGAAUUCCCGGUGUAGCGGUGGAAUGCGUAGAUAUCGGGAGGAACACCAGUGGCGAAGGCGGCCUACUGGGCACCAACUGACGCUGAGGCUCGAAAGUGUGGGUAGCAAACAGGAUUAGAUACCCUGGUAGUCCACACCGUANACGAUGAUUACUNGGUGUUGGAGGAUUGACCCCUUCAGUGCCGCAGUUAACACAAUAAGUAAU